AGAUCCUUAACCCACUGAGCGAGGCCAGGGAUCGAACCUGCAUCCUCGAAGACACGAUGUUGGGUUCUUAACCUGCUGAGCCACAAUUGGAUCUCCCUCACAAGUGACUUUUAAAUAAAUGGUUUAUCUAGAAGUUUCUUAGAGAGGCUCCUUGGAAUUGGUGGAGCUGCAGGUGCAGACAGAAUUCUAAGGAGAAAAUGCCUGGUGUCCCCAUCUUCCCCUCGCCCCAGAGGGUGUCUGAUCCCUAAAUCACCUUUCACCACUGGACCUCCCCUGUUCCCAGCACCCUCCCUGACAGAAUCCAGGCUUUCUACACCACUCCUCUCUCCUUUUUUUCACAGUGGCGCUCUGGCGAAGCCUUGCAAAGAAGAUCGUUAUAUUAGAGUCAAAACAUCACAGGAGGCAGUCUAUAAUCAUGAAAACCCAGAAAUAAUCUCACCGCCCAACAAGAGGGGAUCUAUUCGGUUAUUUAUGACAUACGUUGAAGCAGCCAUUACAAAUGCGAUUAAAGAAAAAGGAGAAAGGAAACUAUGUAUGAUAUUUUUCCGGAGAAAAAUAAAGCAGAUUUCAAGUACUUUAUCCCGGGCUUUGUCAUUUCUCACCUGGGUGACUGCUGCAGCCGCCUCUCUGGUCACCUUGCUCUGUUCUCACCUAUACCUGCUGACUGCACAUGCUGAAGCCACUGAAGCCAGAACGAUCUCUCCACCACGCGGACCUGGCUGUGUCACUCCCAACCCGAAACCCUCCACUAGUUAUUCAGCACCCGGCAUAGUCCAUGCUCUCACAGGAC
RNAcentral lists this long non-coding RNA (790 nucleotides) under Sus scrofa (pig). Its description in RNAcentral is "lncRNA (ENSSSCG00065030701.1)". The record is from RNAcentral. Lineage: Eukaryota; Metazoa; Chordata; Mammalia; Artiodactyla; Suidae.